AACGAACGCUGGCGGCAUGCCUAACACAUGCAAGUCGAACGGGAUCCUAGCUUGCUAGGUGAGAGUGGCGGACGGGUGAGUAACACGUGGGAAUCUGCCUUUUGGUUCGGGAUAACCGCGGGAAACUGCGGCUAAUACCGAAUGCCCUCGAGAGAGGAAAGAUUUAUCGCCAGAAGAGGAGCCCGCGUCCGAUUAGGUAGUUGGUGGGGUAAAAGGCCUACCAAGCCGACGAUCGGUAGCUGGUCUGAGAGGAUGAUCAGCCACACUGGGACUGAGAUACGGCCCCAGACUCCUACGGGAGGCAGCAGUGGGGAAUAUUGGACAAUGGGGGCAACCCUGAUCCAGCAAUGCCGCGUGAGUGAUGAAGGCCUUAGGGUUGUAAAGCUCUUUGCCAGGGAGAUGAUGACUGUACCUGGAG
Molecule: ribosomal RNA, 418 nt
Filed under: uncultured bacterium
Lineage: Bacteria
Description: bacterial SSU rRNA
Rfam family: Bacterial small subunit ribosomal RNA
Source: RNAcentral